RNAcentral lists this long non-coding RNA (348 nucleotides) under Brassica napus (rape). Its description in RNAcentral is "long non-coding RNA (BNAP_LNC009270)". The record is from RNAcentral. Lineage: Eukaryota; Viridiplantae; Streptophyta; Magnoliopsida; Brassicales; Brassicaceae.
GCGAGCAAAUCUACUCCUCCAAGCAUAACUGGUACGUCGCGAUGAAUACCAACUGCUCCCAAUCUCUCUGUGCCGACGGUCUGGAUUUCCUUAGUCUUCGGUUCGAAGACUCCCCGAAAAGACCAAGACCUAACUAAAUGCGGACUCACAAAACUAUGAGAAGCUCCCGUGUCGAAUAAUGUAUGAGCUGACUUACCUCCAACCGAAACCGAUCCUACAUAAUUUUUUUUUUUUUUUUACUGACUACACAUGAUAACCAUGAAACCAAAAUUUUCAAACACAACAAGUAUGGAAAAGUACAUACCCACUAUCGGCUCAGCUCCCUGAGGAUCUCCAACCGCAAACACA